RNAcentral lists this ribosomal RNA (373 nucleotides) under uncultured bacterium. RNAcentral's name for it is "bacterial SSU rRNA". It matches the Rfam family "Bacterial small subunit ribosomal RNA", at positions 523 to 898 of the family's 1533-position model. The record is from RNAcentral.
AUACGGAGGGUCCAAGCGUUAUCCGGAUUUAUUGGGUUUAAAGGGUCCGCAGGCGGAAAAAUAAGUCAGUGGUGAAAUCCUAUCGCUUAACGAUAGAACUGCCAUUGAUACUGUUUUUCUUGAGUAUACUUGAAGUGGGCGGAAUGUGUCAUGUAGCGGUGAAAUGCAUAGAUAUGACACAGAACACCGAUUGCGAAGGCAGCUCACUAAAUUAUAACUGACGCUCAUGGACGAAAGCGUGGGGAGCAAACAGGAUUAGAUACCCUGGUAGUCCACGCCGUAAACGAUGAUUACUCGGUGCUAGCGAUAUACGGUUAGUGCCUAAGCGAAAGCGAUAAGUAAUCCACCUGGGGAAUACGGUCGCAAGAUUGAA